Molecule: ribosomal RNA, 448 nt
Filed under: uncultured bacterium
Lineage: Bacteria
Description: partial 16S ribosomal RNA
Rfam family: Bacterial small subunit ribosomal RNA
Source: RNAcentral
CCCAGACUCCUACGGGAGGCAGCAGUGGGGGAUAUUGCACAAUGGGGGGAACCCUGAUGCGGCGACGCCGCGUGGGUGAAGGAGCGUUUCGGCGCGUAAAGCCCUAUCGGCAGGGAAGAAGGAGGACGGUACCUGACUAAGAAGCCCCGGCUAACUACGUGCCAGCAGCCGCGGUAAUACGUAGGGGGCAAGCGUUAUCCGGAUUUACUGGGUGUAAAGGGGGCGCAGACGGCGGCGCAAGCCAGGAGUGAAAGCCCGGGGCCCAACCCCGGGACUGCUCUUGGAACUGCGCGGCUGGAGUGCAGGAGGGGCAGGCGGAAUUCCUGGUGUAGCGGUGAAAUGCGUAGAUAUCAGGAGGAACACCGGUGGCGAAGGCGGCCUGCUGGACUGCGACUGACGUUGAGGCCCGAAAGCGUGGGGAGCAAACAGGAUUAGAUACCCCUGUAUG